RNAcentral lists this ribosomal RNA (497 nucleotides) under uncultured bacterium. RNAcentral describes it as "partial 16S ribosomal RNA". It matches the Rfam family "Bacterial small subunit ribosomal RNA", at positions 28 to 507 of the family's 1533-position model. The record is from RNAcentral.
GAUGAACGCUGGCGGCGUGCCUAAUACAUGCAAGUCGAGCGAACAGACGAGGAGCUUGCUCCUCUGACGUCAGCGGCGGACGGGUGAGUAACACGUGGAUAACCUACCUAUAAGACUGGGAUAACUUCGGGAAACCGGAGCUAAUACCGGAUAAUAUAUUGAACCGCAUGGUUCAAUAGUGAAAGACGGUUUUGCUGUCACUUAUAGAUGGAUCCGCGCCGCAUUAGCUAGUUGGUAAGGUAACGGCUUACCAAGGCGACGAUGCGUAGCCGACCUGAGAGGGUGAUCGGCCACACUGGAACUGAGACACGGUCCAGACUCCUACGGGAGGCAGCAGUAGGGAAUCUUCCGCAAUGGGCGAAAGCCUGACGGAGCAACGCCGCGUGAGUGAUGAAGGUCUUCGGAUCGUGAAACUCUGUUAUUAGGGAAGAACAAAUGUGUAAGUAACUAUGCACGUCUUGACGGUACCUAAUCAGAAAGCCACGGCUAACUACGUG